AUGUCCGUGAGCAACAAGCAUACGAUUUGUGCAUAUGCUCUACUGUAUUGGCCUCAUGGGUCAUCGCUGAUUGACCAGGACUAUAGAUUAUUCCUUCAGCGUACUAUCGCUUUCUCAAGUCAACUCAAGCAACAAUUCAUGUGGCUCGCUCAAUCGGUCAGAGAGCUGAACGGGGCGAGGCUGGAGGCGUCGGUGAGGGCGUACGGUGGUGCCGGCCAGAGCAAGGUGUCCAACAAAUGGGCUUCAUUGCCGCUGCCAUAUGCCAAAGCCGGCAAUGAACUCCUAGAUGACAGUGGAAGCCAUGUUGUUGUUUUGUUUGUUCCCAGCCCUGACUAUGGUCUUCGAGCGAGUCCGGCAUGUUGUUCAUCUGACUAUGUUCAUCCAGCGAGUCCAGUAUGUUCAUGA
Molecule: ribosomal RNA, 405 nt
Filed under: Triticum aestivum (bread wheat)
Lineage: Eukaryota; Viridiplantae; Streptophyta; Magnoliopsida; Poales; Poaceae
Description: partial small subunit ribosomal RNA
Source: RNAcentral